GCUUGGCUGGCUCAGUCAGUAGGGCGUGUGACUCUUGAUCUUGGGGUUGUGAGUUCAAGCCCCAUGUUGGGCA
RNAcentral lists this transfer RNA (73 nucleotides) under Felis catus (domestic cat). It matches the Rfam family "tRNA". Rfam says of the family: Transfer RNA (tRNA) molecules are approximately 80 nucleotides in length. Their secondary structure includes four short double-helical elements and three loops (D, anti-codon, and T loops). RNAcentral also lists the same sequence under 1 other name. Lineage: Eukaryota; Metazoa; Chordata; Mammalia; Carnivora; Felidae. The record is from Rfam by way of RNAcentral.